AGGAGAAAGUCUGUGUUGGAUUAUGGAAAGCUGUUUCACUCUAUAUAAUUAAAAGCUUGACUGAGUUUCAACAUGAAGAUUUUGGGCAAGAUAAAACUGGACAGGCUGUACCAGACAGUUUACAGUCCUGCACAGACCGAGAAGGAAUGAGUGAUACACCUGAAACUGAGGAGACUGGAGGAACUUGUGAUUCCUGGCAGAGUGGCCUGUGGGCACAAGUGAAAGACAAGUUAAUGAAAUAUUUGCAUCACAGCAACAUUUUCCCAGAAAGCAUCCCACGUAAAUUUGAUUAUCUGCACAAGGACUUACUGAUGCAGCAGUACAACCUUCAUGCAGCAGUGCACCAGCCAAAAGAAACCAGAACAGAGAAAAAUAUCACUGAGUUUAAAAGUGCUAGUGGCCUUGGGUCUUAUGAAGUGACAGUUC
Colius striatus (speckled mousebird) is the source of this 426-nucleotide long non-coding RNA. RefSeq lists it as uncharacterized. NCBI's taxonomy places the organism in Eukaryota, Metazoa, Chordata, Aves, Coliiformes, Coliidae. The transcript has 3 exons. The record is from RefSeq and is a predicted model, not a curated record.